AUUGAACGCUGGCGGUAGGCUUAACACAUGCAAGUCGAGCGGAAACGAAGAAUAGCUUGCUAUUCUGGCGUCGAGCGGCGGACGGGUGAGUAAUGCUUGGGAAUCUGCCUAGUCGAGGGGGACAACAGUUGGAAACGACUGCUAAUACCGCAUACGACCUACGGGUGAAAGGGGGCCUCUUCUUGAAAGCUCUCGCGAUUAGAUGAGCCCAAGUGGGAUUAGCUAGUUGGUGAGGUAAGAGCUCACCAAGGCGACGAUCCCUAGCUGGUCUGAGAGGAUGAUCAGCCACACUGGAACUGAGACACGGUCCAGACUCCUACGGGAGGCAGCAGUGGGGAAUAUUGCACAAUGGGGGAAACCCUGAUGCAGCCAUACCGCGUGUAUGAAGAAGGCCUUAGGGUUGUAAAGUACUUUCAGCGAGGAGGAAAGGGCGCAGCUUAAUACGUUGUGUCUGUGACGUUACUCGCAGAAGAAGCACCGGC
RNAcentral lists this ribosomal RNA (482 nucleotides) under uncultured bacterium. RNAcentral describes it as "bacterial SSU rRNA". It matches the Rfam family "Bacterial small subunit ribosomal RNA", at positions 30 to 497 of the family's 1533-position model. The record is from RNAcentral.